GGAAUAUUGGGCAAUGGAGGAGACUCUGACCCAGCGACGCCGCGUGCGGGAUGAAGGCCUUCGGGUUGUAAACCGCUUUCAGCAGGGAAGAAGCGAAAGUGACGGUACCUGCAGAAGAAGCACCGGCUAACUAUGUGCCAGCAGCCGCGGUAAUACAUAGGGUGCAAGCGUUGUCCGGAAUUAUUGGGCGUAAAGAGCUCGUAGGUGGUUCGUCACGUCGGAUGUGAAACUCUGGGGCUUAACCCCAGACCUGCAUUCGAUACGGGUGAGCUUGAGUAUGGUAGGGGAGUCUGGAAUUCCUGGUGUAGCGGUGGAAUGCGCAGAUAUCAGGAGGAACACCAAUGGCGAAGGCAGGACUCUGGGCCAUUACUGACACUGAGGAGCGAAAGCGUGGGGAGCGAACAGGAUUAGAUACCCUGGUAGUCCACGCCGUAAACGGUGGGCACUAGUUGUGGGGACCUUCCACGGUCUCUGCGACGCAGCUAACGCAUUAAGUGCCCCGCCUGGGGAGUACGAUCGCAAGAUUAAAACUCAAAUGAAUUGACGG
RNAcentral lists this ribosomal RNA (547 nucleotides) under uncultured bacterium. RNAcentral describes it as "bacterial SSU rRNA". It matches the Rfam family "Bacterial small subunit ribosomal RNA", at positions 358 to 916 of the family's 1533-position model. The record is from RNAcentral.